CAACAAACGGCGGCGGACACACGUUCUUUCGACAUUUUUCACAUCGCGCACGAUAAUGUUGAUACUGAAUUAAUUAGUGCGGCAUUAACUGCUCGCGCUCGCGCGUUUACAGCAUUAACAGCAAUAAAAGCAAUAAAAUUCGGCCGCGGAGCGCGCGGUUUCUCCCGACAAAGUCUAUCAAGAUACGUUUGGUUCUAGCCGUGCGCACGGACCGGAAAAUGAUGAAAAAUACGGCUAAAGGCGUGGAGUUAGAGGUUUUUGGGUAUUCUAGGCGCCAGUUUUUAGGAGGGUACCUUCAAAAUCUGGACCGAAGUAUAAUACACCAAGAAAUAUCUCAGGAAUAAUUUUUUCCGCCGAAAAUCAACGAAAUAAUGCAAAAAAAGUGAUGGUAUGGAUGAAAAAUGUAAAAAAUCAUUCUUAGGCAUUCUAGGCGCCAUUUAUUAAGAGGGUACCUUCAAAAUUCUGGCCCGAAGUACAAUACCUCAAGAAAUAUCUCAGGAAUAUUUUUUUACCUCCAAAAAUCAUCAAAAUAUUGCAAAAAAU
Molecule: long non-coding RNA, 543 nt
Organism: Dalotia coriaria
Lineage: Eukaryota; Metazoa; Arthropoda; Insecta; Coleoptera; Staphylinidae
Exons: 3
Source: RefSeq, a predicted model, not a curated record